This is a long non-coding RNA of Corvus hawaiiensis (hawaiian crow), 8023 nucleotides long. RefSeq lists it as uncharacterized. The record is from RefSeq and is a predicted model, not a curated record. Lineage: Eukaryota; Metazoa; Chordata; Aves; Passeriformes; Corvidae. The transcript has 2 exons.
UCAAAGCCUGCAGGUGGGGCAAGAGGAGAACAGAAGCAAGAGAAGCAGAGAAGACAAUGCAUAAAUAAACACAUAAUUUUAUUUCAUCACGUAAGAGAACAGAGAAUGAAGAGCUUCUGCCAUACCCAGGACAUUCUAUCCACAGUUGUUGGAAAUGGUGGAGACAGCAACUCAUGCAGAGAAUGUUCACGUGGGCUGAAGGUCACUUUGCUUGUCCUGAGGUUGACAAUUCUUUCUGGAAUCUGUGCUAUGCUAUAAACUGCCCAGCAUGCAGGUAAUGACAAGGUGACAAGAGACAAUUUUUGCCUGCAACAAUUCCUACUUUGCAUCUCUAGACUGCGCUGCAAAUUCACCUUGCACUCCUGUCCUUGUUCAAAUCUCUCUCAAUACUUUCAGACACAAAGAGCAGGGCUGAAGAGAGCGAGCUACAGCAUCCUGUCAGCCACACCCUGCACACACCCAGGGGACAGAAGGGAGGGGCAGGAUGUCAAAGGGACCAGAACCCCCAAGUGUGAGGGGCAAGGAGAACACUGACUCCAGUUCAAAUAUUCAGCACAGAAAUCCACCAGCAUUGUCCCACACUGGGAGACUGUGACAGCCACAUCUGUUCACUGCAGAUCCCCAGAGUCACUGUAUCAGCUGUGCAGUUUAAGCACGGCAGGAAUGAGAGCCACUCCCAGCUCUGCCAAGGAUUUCCUUUUGUGAUGCUGAGUAACUGACAGUAGCAUCGUGUCCUGACUUCCUCAUCCAUAGGAUUAGGAUUUAUGCAUCUACCCACAUCAAAAAGAGGGUCUUAGGCAAGAAUUCCAUCACUCCAAGUUGCUGCACAACUUGAAGCAAUUUUUACCUAUCUUCCUUCACUAAGUGUAGCAUGACACACUGCAUCAAUGAGGGCAGAGUAUGCCAAGCAUCUGCUUACAGGACUGGCCAGACACACCAUCUCAACGUGGUGUUCAGAUUAUGUGAACAAAAAACUAAACCCCUCAAGUGCCUUGGUGAGUGCAGGAUGGCACAAGCAAUUUCUGGUCAACGUGACUCAUCUGCAGUCACUGUAGCUGGUCUGGUGGCCUUUGGGAUGUUUGCAGUAAGUAAGGUUCAGCAAGCAUUACCUAGGAGAGAAUUUCUAGAAAAACAUGACAUCAAAGAAAGCAUGAAGUUGUGAAGAAGCCUGGGCAAAGAGGGAAUUUCAAGCUUGUUUUGAACAGAAGAAUUUUUAUUAUUUGUACACAUGAAAAGAAUGUUUUUCACAUGACAAGAUGCUGUCCUAGAACUGUAGCAUAAUUCAAAGCAAGUUUUCCACUAGCAAGACAGGAAACCUCUAAACACAAAUCACUUCCUCUCUUCAGUAUCUUCUCUUCAAAAUCACCCAUCUCUCAUGCACAUGUCUGAGAUUAUAGUAUUUUAGACAUCUUGGAGCAAUGCUAUCCUAUCCAGUGGAUAUCCUAUAAUUUUUUUUUUUAAUUAUUAUUCCCUGUUGCUAAAGGCUUCCUGAAAUAAAAGCCUUGAUCUUAAGCAUAACUAUUUCUCCACAUUCUUCAUACCAGUUAUGGCUGUGUGCCUAUGUGAGUCAAGAUCUCAGAACUCAACCCUUUAAACCCUGUAUAACACUGCCUAUAAACACAGGCGGUGUUAACCCCCUGGCUGUACAGGGGGUACGAACCCCACCGAAUGCAAGGAGAUGCAAUCAGCUAAGGUUUGUUCCAUACCAAAAAUCUGAUCUAUGCAUGAGGAUCCAUGAGCUGGCUCAUACUUUCCAUGCUCAGCCUCUCAUGUGCAUCCCAGCACGCCUGGAUCCUUCUCCAGUGACUGGAUACUUAACCUGCUCCACAUCCAUGCCUCGUUCUAAUGCCACCACUUGCCUGCUACACAUGACACCCUAUAGAUACGUGCAAGCUACAACAGAUGGCAACCCCCAAAGGCAUCCUGCCAAUCCAUACCGCUGCCUUUCCUCUUCUCCGAUGUCUCCUCCUUGUGCUGGGAUCACUGCCCUCUAUAUUGAAUGCUGAGGAAAAACUAUCGUUACUUAAUCCAUGAAGCAUGAGCAGUUGUACGUACAGCUUUUCUCCAUUCCUUGAGUAAGUCUGUGAUUAUCUGACUCCAAUACGACCUUCAUAUCACCCUUCUCCCCUGCCACUUCACAAGGUGAAUUGGCAACCUAAGAACUUCUCAAGAAAAAGCACUGCUGAUAAGCGCCCAGUGUUCCUUUCCUGAACAGUAGUACUUAAAAAUCUCUUACGAUAGCCUACUGGAAUUUUGACACUUUUAUCUUUUAAGGAAGCUUUGCUGAAAUGUAAAUCAGAUCAGCAGAAGAGAUGAAGGCAGGUUCAUUAACAGAUAAUAUUCAUACAGAACAUUUUCUGCUUCUGUAUCUGAGCUCACGCUUGCCUGUGGUUCAACAGGAUGCAAUUGUUCAGCCAGUCUUCUGUUUAGGAGUAGUACCCAGCUGUAAUUUCGGCACACUUGGAAACAGCCCCACACUCUUACUCUGUCCUGUUAUUUAAAUGCAGUCUGUGAUGUGCCCUUUCUGUCAGUCUGUACGCUCCCUUUUGGCUGGACACACUUCCUUCAGCACCUCGCUGUGUGUGAAUACUGAGAUGCUCCAACCCUCUAACCUCUGCUUCCCUCCUGCAGACCCAGCUGCAUUCCAGUCACGCACCUCCCACCCGCUCUCUGUCAUUACCUCUCUCCAUGCAUGAAAGCCUCUCCUUUUUCCUACUUACUGAUGUAAGAGCAUCUCAAAAAUGCCUUCACCUUCUCUCUUCAAUAAUGCCCAGCAUUUUCCCUACCAACCACCAGUACCUUCCUGCUUUGAGGCACAACUCCUUAGCCAGGUGGUGGAUGAUUCCCAUCUCACUCCACACACCCUCCUUUCCAACUACAUUUAUGCCUCUGCCCUAUUGGCAUCUGUCUUAAACACAGUCAGUGAGUGCUGCACACCACACACAGCUCUGUCCUCCCUCCUGCCUGCUCCUCCUCUCAGCACUGCAGCUCUUCUGGGUCAGCCUGGGUAUGCCAGGGAAAGGCAGGAGGAGUUGCCAAAGCCAAGUACCAAGAAUGCCCCUCAUGGAGGCUGCUCAUUAGCAGGGAUGAGAACCUAAUAACGAGAAAGUUACUGCUGCACUGGAGGGUUUUUCCUCUCUGACAGCAAGCUGACACUUUUCAUAAGCAUUAUAGUGCCUUAAAAAGAAACAAACAACUUUUGUAUUUUCUCCAUCUGCCUCCUGUCCUAAUGAAUCCAGCUCUGCUAUUUAUAGGAUGUAAUUUGUCUGAAUUAUUAUAAAUUUCCUUCCAGUGUUGCAUGAAGGCCUUGCACGUUUUUCCAUGAAGCGCUUCAAGCACGUUCCUGGGAAGCACAGCUGGUCUCACCUCCAUUAAGCACCUGCUUCUUUUCAAAACUGAUUUCCUUAAUUUCAAGAUCAUCUUAAUUAUUUUUUCAGGUAAUGCUACUUUUAUGCAAUAUACAGCUAACUCCUUACUCCCAUUUAAAAAUGGAUAGAAUAAAUGAGAAAAGAGAGUAAUUAGUGAUAGAGAAUACAUCAAACAAGAAAAACAUCCACUGUUUUUCUUUUUUCUUUAAAAAGCUGUUUUAAUUAUAGCCCAGAUUCAGCAUUGUCCUUAAAAAGAUAAUCUUCCUGGAAUAAAUGAGAUUUUUCCAUUGGUUAUGGAUUUGUGCUGAGUUGCAAUCUACCACUGUUUCCUCCUGGAAAAGCAUGGAGAUAAGUAAUUUAUUGCUUUUUUCAUCGCAGAAAGCAAAGUAAACAAGUUCACUCUAUUUGUUUUCGGCUUUCAGAGAAACAGAGAAAUGCCUAGGACACUGAUGUCACUGUGAGCAUCAGACCUUUUGCAGUGUGUAAGCAUUCCCCCAGCUAACAACAACAUGAACAUGUCACAGAGGAGUAUCUUUAUAUUAGAGUCAUCUUCUCCAACACACUGCAGUCUCAUCUUUCUGAGAAAUAGGAAGAUGAGCUUUUUUGCAGCAGAGUUGCUCAAAAUUGGCAAAUGGGACUAGUUCUGUGUGAAGUUCACACUACCAGGACGUGGCAAGUACAUUAUCCUUUAUUUGCCCAGAGAAUAGUGACAGCACAGACAGCAAUUUGAAUCCUGAACAGAAAAACACCUGAGGAAUUAGCUGAUUAGCCAUUUCCAUCCCUUCAAUCCUCAGUCCCUGUGCUGAGAAUGAUGCAGCAGUUCCUGGAUUAUCUCCUCCACAAAACUAUUUACUUUCAUCUUGGCAAUGCUGAUCCUGUGCCUAUACUUAGCUACAUUCUGGCAAUAACAUAAGAUACUGCACCAGGUACCUAUCUCUGAUACACCUGCUUAAUCCCAAAUUCAGACAACUCUCUUUGGAACAAGGCUGCCAAACCUAUUCCCUUUCACCACCCAUUCCAUUUAGGAUUUAUUCCCCCACCACAGGCAUGGGAAAUUAUACACAUGUGGAUGCUGGUCAGAUGAGAGAUCUCCUGCUGCUGCAGCAGAAAUUCACUGCUUAAUUUUCUAUCCACACAAAACCUCCGGACUGAUGCUUAAAACAAUUGUCAAAUUUCAAAUUUUUUUAGGAAGCUGGAAGGAUGCUGGCAACACUGCAGAAAAAACCUAAGCAACCCCUAAACCGGGGGGAGAGGGGGUAAGUGUGUGUCUGUGGAAUCAUUGACGUGAACUCUUACAGCUACUCACUCUUGCAGUGCGCAGAGGCAAUUCCCACUUACUGCACUGUGGUUCUCAACAGGAAGAUGCAGCGGCACCUGGACUCCUUUUGGGCUGCCACCACAGCAGGAGGUGCAUUCCCUGCCCACACCUCGGAGGGGCUGCCGGCACUGGGAGCUCUGGGGCCGCUGUGCUCGCCCUGAGCCGCACCUGCAGCGCCGGCAGAUGGAGCGAGAGGAGCCCGGACCGCACCUCCUCUGCAAGGUCACCCGAAAACAGAUUGUGCACAGUGAAAAAGCAUCUCCCUCAGCAACCAGGAAGCUAUCAGCCAAUAGCCAAACCAAAAGAAAAAAAAAGAAAAAAAGAAGAGAGAGUAAAGAAUCACGACAGUAAAAGAAAUGAACAACUAGAAUCUGCACGAAAGAAAAGCUCCGCAGCCCUUGGACUCUUGCCCUCUGCUGACAACCGGCCGGUACCUUCACCACAGCCUGUGCAGCUCAUUGUCCCCAAGCUGUAAACCCGGGCUCAGAUGUAUUUGCUACAAAAAUGUUUUCAGAACGCUUCAGCAGCAAAUCAGUCCAGCAGUUCAACUCUCCCCUUCCAGGAACCCCUCACCCUGCAGUGUGGUUUUACAGCAGGCUACAUGAAAAACCCAAUAGGAGGCUGGGGGAGGCAGCUGGUUACUUUUGUAAAAACAGUAAUCAGAUCCCUAAAAAACCUGACCCAUCAGCUCCAUUCCAUCUAUAUGCUGUGCUUCAGCACCCAGUGCACAAAGCAGCUUGAAUGCCAACAUAAACUUGCAAGAUUCUUCUAAUUGAAAGGCUUAACAGUAGCAAGAACACAGCCAGCUCCAACAGAGCCAAACGCUUGGCAUAAGUGCCCAAGAAUGCAGCUCGAUGCAGAUACAUGCAGAAUACUGAGUGCCACAGCAGCAGCACAGCAAACUCUGCAACGAAUGAAGAUGAAAUAAUAGGUGGAAAGUUCUGAACAGUCCCUGUGGCUUUCACUUCAAGGUACAGCACAAGUCAGGACAGGUACUGCGCUUACUGCAGAGAUUCAAUCACGAAUGCAGCAUCCACCACUGAGCAGCAGCUCUGAAGACAGACAGAACAGCCUUUGAAUAGUAUUGAAAAGAAGGACUGGAAUAAUGUGGGACACACGAGACUCGAAUCAGGCUUGAGGGAAUGUUUAAGAAGAGUUUUUCUAUUUAGGAAAUGAACACCACAGUGUGUGACCUUUCCAACUAAUCUAAGUCAUACACAAGUUCUAAAAUGAUGUAAACUCUUCCCAGCUUAUCAUGUACUCCCACAAUGACAGCAGCACUGGCAUGCUACUCAAAAAGGGAAGCAAACAAACCCCCAGCCCAAAGGAUGUAACAGGAAUGUUACCAGCACUACCAAGAGUGAGGUAUGCAAAAAACCAACACGGAGCUAGGGUGACUGCAGGGAAGACAGAAAGGCAGUAAGGAAAGGAAACGGGAGGGCAAGACAUUGCAGGAGAAAGAAAGGAUGCCUGGGAAAGCAAAUUGGCUUUUACUAUUUCUAUUAUUCUUUAUAUUUCCCAAGCUCCACAAUCUGUCAUGAAAGUACCUUCUUACAGAGUGUGAUUUGUACAAGGUUGGUUACAUCCCACUUCAUAUCCAAAGAAUAUGCAAUUCAACAAAGAGGUGGCUCAAUCAAACAACCCAUUUUGACCUUGUGUGAGUUCCAGCACUUCUGUUUUCUGUGACCACACAUUUUAGAGCUAAUACAGUUUCCCCUUCCAAAGGACCUGCAAGCAGCAUUUCUCCCAACAGUGUUUGACACACUGCCCAAUACAAAGUCUUUUCCAAGCAUAUGCUGCUAAGUCUCUUGGCAACUGGAGAUGUUCCAUUAACAGCCUUUUCUCCUCACUAAUCAGUAGCAAAGGCUCUGGAAGACUAAUACUUAGUAAGAAUCUCAGAGCUGCUGCAGAUAACUGGAGCACUACCCAAGCUACUGGUUCAAAAGGGGAAUGCUCCGUCCCGCAGAGCUGUCACUAAAGGGCAGGGAAUCCCCAGCAGCCAGGCUGAUGCAGGGAUGGGAGAGCUGCUAAAGGUCUGCACCCGCAGGGAGGGGAGACACGUGGGUGAACUGCAGCACAUUUAAGCAUUUCUAGGUCACCUUUGGCAAUGGUUUUUGUUUGCCUUUGAGAAACACCAUUGUUACAAGCAACAAUGCUUUGGAUUGGAGUUAACAUUAAACCCUUUGGCUGCAUGAUUAAAAUGGAGAGCUCAUGUAAAUAGCUUCCUUUACCCCAGCCCCAGAAGACUUGCCUCUGACCUUGGAGACUCUCAGUACAGUACAUGAAAUGUUAACACUUAACUCUCUCGCCAGCUUCUCUAAUCCAAAGUUAUUUUUAUUUACUUCACAGUGAUAACUGAAUGCAUUUUCUUUUAAAGGGAACAGGACAAUCAUGUUAUUCCAAAAGCAAAUCUGUUUUGAAAUGCAAUUUGUAUCUAAAAAUCAAACAUUAAAUAAAAUUUUCUCCCUCUCUCUUGCACACAGAGCACACACUGAAGUCUCUGUGCUGUGAGCUACGUAUCAAAUGCAAACUGUUUGAAGUACAGUUCCCCUUUUCCCACCACCAGCUUACCAUGGUGUUUGCAAGCUCCCAGAACGCAGCCCAGGCCCUGCAUCACCACUGCAACAUCUCCAAGUGGGACUUGGUUCAAAAUCCUGGCUCACAUACAUCUCAGUGCCUAUUGGCCAUGGGUGCUUCUGACGUGUCUGCUCCUGUCUCUGCAAGGGUCCAGAAUUACAUGACUGACUGGUUUUCCUUCUCCUCUCUGAAAGGACCCAGAUGGCAGUGCUUGGUGACUGCUCACAUGCCCCGAGGGCUGUCUCCUUGUGUGUGUCACCAAACAGCUCUAUUUUGUCACUUCUCCCUUUCAGCCAGAGAAAGCAAUUCCAAGGACUGCACAAUCCUCUCCAGAAAGCAGAGCACUGCCCAGCCCACCUGGCUCCUGGCACUUAGGCCAGCGACACCAGUAGAAAAUGUGGAGGGGCUCAGGAACUGUCAACUUACUGACCUCAGAGCUGCAAACACCAGCCAAGAACACGUGGGGAUGCCACAAUAGUCCAAACCCAUAGCACCGCCAGAGAUCUCUUCCCAACUGCAGCUCUGGAAACAUGCAAUAACGAGCUGACACUACAGAAUGCCUCAUCAGGUGGGAAGUGGCCCUUUCUUCCUAAUGGGGAAAGGUUGUAAGUGGAGGAAUCUCUAGGCCUGAACAUGCUUGCUCUCUGCCUUGGUAGGGCUUGGAUCCACGGCUUUUUGGAGCAUACCGCUAAAGCCUUUUCCAUUUGGCCAAGCUUUCCCAAAGGAACAAAAUAAAUAAAAAGACGGCUGGCAAAGUUAA